RNAcentral lists this ribosomal RNA (756 nucleotides) under uncultured bacterium. RNAcentral's name for it is "bacterial SSU rRNA". It matches the Rfam family "Bacterial small subunit ribosomal RNA", at positions 8 to 796 of the family's 1533-position model. The record is from RNAcentral.
AGAGUUUGAUCAUGGCUCAGAAUCAACGCUGGCGGCGUGCCUAACACAUGCAAGUCGCACGAGAAAGGGGCUUCGGCCUUGAGUAAAGUGGCGCACGGGUGAGUAACACGUGAAUCAUCUACCUUCGAGUGGGGAACAACUGGGAGAAAUCUCAGCUAAUACCGCAUAAUACCUACGGGUCAAAGCAGCAAUGCGCUUGAAGAGGAGUUCGCGGCAGAUUAGUUAGUUGGCGGGGUAAUGGCCCACCAAGACGAUGAUCUGUAUCCGGCCUGAGAGGGCGCACGGACACACUGGAACUGAAACACGGUCCAGACUCCUACGGGAGGCAGCAGUGGGGAAUUUUGCGCAAUGGGGGAAACCCUGACGCAGCAACGCCGCGUGGAGGAUGAAAUAUCUUGGUAUGUAAACUCCUUUCGAUGGGGAAGAUUAUGACGGUACCCAUAGAAGAAGCCCCGGCUAACUUCGUGCCAGCAGCCGCGGUAAUACGAGGGGGGCAAGCGUUGUUCGGAUUUAUUGGGCGUAAAGGGUGCGUAGGCGGUUUGGCAAGUCUUAUGUGAAAUCUUCGGGCUCAACCCGAAGUCUGCAUAAGAAACUGCCGGGCUUGAGUAUGGGAGAGGUGAGUGGAAUUUCCGGUGUAGCGGUGAAAUGCGUAGAUAUCGGAAGGAACACCUGUGGCGAAAGCGGCUCACUGGACCAUAACUGACGCUGAUGCACGAAAGCUAGGGGAGCAAACAGGAUUAGAUACCCUAGUAGUCC